RNAcentral lists this ribosomal RNA (253 nucleotides) under uncultured bacterium. RNAcentral describes it as "partial 16S ribosomal RNA". It matches the Rfam family "Bacterial small subunit ribosomal RNA", at positions 524 to 776 of the family's 1533-position model. The record is from RNAcentral.
UACGUAGGGAGCAAGCGUUGUCCGGAAUCAUUGGGCGUAAAGCGCGCGUAGGCGGCCUCAUAAGUCCGUUGUGAAAGUCAAAGGCUCAACCUUUGAAAGCCGAUGGAUACUGUGAGGCUAGAGUCCGGAAGAGGCGAGUGGAAUUCCUGGUGUAGCGGUGGAAUGCGCAGAUAUCAGGAGGAACACCAAUAGCGAAGGCAGCUCGCUGGGACGGUGCUGACGCUAAGGCGCGAAAGCGUGGGGAGCGAACAGG